UUGGUGGGGUAAUGGCCUACCAAGGCGACGACGGGUAGCCGGCCUGAGAGGGUGACCGGCCACACUGGGACUGAGACACGGCCCAGACUCCUACGGGAGGCAGCAGUGGGGAAUAUUGGACAAUGGGCGGAAGCCUGAUCCAGCAACGCCGCGUGAGGGAUGACGGCCUUCGGGUUGUAAACCUCUUUCAGCACAGACGAAGC
RNAcentral lists this ribosomal RNA (203 nucleotides) under uncultured bacterium. Its description in RNAcentral is "partial 16S ribosomal RNA". It matches the Rfam family "Bacterial small subunit ribosomal RNA", at positions 249 to 451 of the family's 1533-position model. The record is from RNAcentral.